This 225-nucleotide unclassified non-coding RNA is filed under the name Hevea brasiliensis (rubber tree). Lineage: Eukaryota; Viridiplantae; Streptophyta; Magnoliopsida; Malpighiales; Euphorbiaceae. The record is from RNAcentral.
ACCAGUAAUUUUGAGGAAUCUGAAAAUUUCACUAGUGGUCCUUCGGUUUUCUCUUCUAAUAAGCCUUCUGUUUCAAGAGCCCAAAUUUCUGCCCCUCCUGGAUUUUCUGUUCCCAACAGAGCUCCACCUCCAGGCUUUUCUUCUCAUGAGAGGAUGGACCAGAUCUUUGAUACCAUAUCUGGGAGUCAUUUGUUCGACUCUUCUUCCAUGCUGAGAAAUUCAUAU